AGUGAACGCUGGCGGCAGGUCUAACACAUGCAAGUCGAACGGCAGCACAGUAAGAGCUUGCUCUUACGGGUGGCGAGUGGCGGACGGGUGAGGAAUACCUCGGAAUCUACUUUUUCGUGGGGGAUAACGUAGGGAAACUUACGCUAAUACCGCAUACGACCUACGGGUGAAAGCAUCGGAUCUUCGGACCUUGCGCGAUUGAAUGAGCCGAUGUCGGAUUAGCUAGUUGGCGGGGUAAAGGCCCACCAAGGCGACGAUCCGUAGCUGGUCUGAGAGGAUGAUCAGCCACACUGGAACUGAGACACGGUCCAGACUCCUACGGGAGGCAGCAGUGGGGAAUAUUGGACAAUGGGCGCAAGCCUGAUCCAGCCAUACCGCGUGGGUGAAGAAGGCCUUCGGGUUGUAAAGCCCUUUUGUUGGGAAAGAAAAGCAGCAGGUUAAUACCCCGCUGUUCUGACGGUACCCAAAGAAUAAGCACCGGCUAACUUCGUG
RNAcentral lists this ribosomal RNA (492 nucleotides) under uncultured bacterium. RNAcentral's name for it is "partial 16S ribosomal RNA". It matches the Rfam family "Bacterial small subunit ribosomal RNA", at positions 29 to 507 of the family's 1533-position model. The record is from RNAcentral.